Molecule: long non-coding RNA, 232 nt
Filed under: Carica papaya (papaya)
Lineage: Eukaryota; Viridiplantae; Streptophyta; Magnoliopsida; Brassicales; Caricaceae
Description: long non-coding RNA (CPAP_LNC002063)
Source: RNAcentral
CAUUAGCAUUCCGUAAUUAAUUAUGCAUAUUUAUUUAAUUUGUACAAAAGACCGUAUUAUUAUUUAUUUAAACUUUAAAUCUAUGAUAGGAAAUAGGGUGAUGGGUCCUUACUUAAUUUGACACCGAAAAGCUAAAUGGUUUACUGCGUAUACGGGCAAUCCCUUGAUUCUCUAAAUUUUUAUUUAGGAACUGAAAUGCGCUUAUGGUACCUACAAAUGUCCCAAAUAACCC